CGUGUAGGCGGGAAUACAAGUCAGAUGUGAAAUACUGCGGCUUAACUGCAGAACGGCAUCUGAAACUGUAUUUCUUGAGUACUGGAGAGGAAAGCGGAAUUCCUAGUGUAGCGGUGAAAUGCGUAGAUAUUAGGAGGAACACCGGUGGCGAAGGCGGCUUUCUGGACAGUAACUGACGCUGAGACGCGAAAGCGUGGGGAGCAAACAGGAUUAGAUACCCUGGUAGUCC
RNAcentral lists this ribosomal RNA (229 nucleotides) under uncultured bacterium. Its description in RNAcentral is "partial 16S ribosomal RNA". It matches the Rfam family "Bacterial small subunit ribosomal RNA", at positions 568 to 796 of the family's 1533-position model. The record is from RNAcentral.